Molecule: ribosomal RNA, 377 nt
Filed under: uncultured delta proteobacterium
Lineage: Bacteria; Deltaproteobacteria
Description: bacterial SSU rRNA
Rfam family: Bacterial small subunit ribosomal RNA
Source: RNAcentral
UAAUACGGAGGGUGCAAGCGUUGUUCGGAUUUAUUGGGCGUAAAGCGCGCGCAGGCGGAUAGAUAAGUCAGAUGUGAAAUCUCGGGGCCCAACCUCGAAACUGCGUCUGAAACUAUUUAUCUAGAGUCUCACAGGGGGUAGGGGAAUUUCACGUGUAGGGGUAAAAUCCGUAGAGAUGUGAAGGAACACCGGUGGCGAAGGCGCCUACCUGGAUGAGUACUGACGCUGAGGCGCGAAAGCAUGGGGAGCAAACAGGAUUAGAUACCCUGGUAGUCCAUGCCGUAAACGAUGACAACUAGCUUUUAGGGGUAUUGACUCCUUUAGAGGCGCAGCUAACGCAUUAAGUUGUCCGCCUGGGAAGUACGGUCGCAAGACUA